GGAGGGCGCAAGCGUUGUUCGGAAUUACUGGGGCGUAAAGGGCGGGCAGGCGGUCUGUUAAGUCUUUGUGAAAAUCCGGGGCUCAAACCCCCGUGAAAACGCAGAAGAUACUGGCAGACUUGAGACCAGUAGAGGCUAGCGGAAUUCCUGGUGUAGCGGUGGAAUGCGUAGAUAUCAGGAAGAACACCUGUGGCGAAGGCGGCUAGCUGGGCUGGAUCUGACGCUCAUCCGCGAAAGCGUGGGGAGCAAACAGGAUUAGAUACCCUGGUAGUCCACGCCGUAAACGAUGGGUACUAGAUGCCGGGUCUAUAGACAGGGUCGGUGUCGCAGCUAACGCAUUAAGUACCCCGCCUGGGGAGUACGGCCGCAAAGGCUG
RNAcentral lists this ribosomal RNA (376 nucleotides) under uncultured organism. RNAcentral's name for it is "partial 16S ribosomal RNA". It matches the Rfam family "Bacterial small subunit ribosomal RNA", at positions 527 to 896 of the family's 1533-position model. The record is from RNAcentral.